RNAcentral lists this long non-coding RNA (587 nucleotides) under Brassica napus (rape). RNAcentral's name for it is "long non-coding RNA (BNAP_LNC002335)". Lineage: Eukaryota; Viridiplantae; Streptophyta; Magnoliopsida; Brassicales; Brassicaceae. The record is from RNAcentral.
CAUGUCUCUCCGUUCGCAUCUCGAUGUUCCCGAAAAUCGUAAAGAUAGGUAAUUUUUUACGAGAAUCACGAACGAACUAACAGAUCGAACGUCUAAUCGGAAUUAAAUGCGAGACGACAACUCAUAUUUACUUCGAAACGGAACAUUCAUCAUAUAAAUAACCCCGUAAAGCGGUAAGGGGAUUCAAAGCCACCAACGGCCAGUCCCGAUAAACAAUAAAAAUGGCCAAAAUAGGCCCAUACAAAUCUCUCGGCCACACUCAGCACACUCGGCCACAGACAUAAAAUACAAAGACGAGCAUCUUUCUUUCGAUAACUACUCCGCCUCUCAUAAUCCAAAGUGAAAGUCCCCGGACAACGAAGCACUGAACGCAUCCGCGGGACGAUCCACUUCCUCGCCACCAUCAGGAAACCCGGUCGGAACCUCCUCGGUAUCAGGGGAAACCGGGAUGGAAUCCCAGAACCCUUGAAUCCGCUCAUCGAUCGAAGGGAUGAGCGCCUCAGCGUGGGCACGUUCGUUCAUGCCGCUCUUCAUCAAGCUCAUUUCCUCCUGGAACACAUAGUCAUCGGCUUGCGUCCUCCAAAGAC